RNAcentral lists this ribosomal RNA (206 nucleotides) under uncultured bacterium. RNAcentral describes it as "partial 16S ribosomal RNA". It matches the Rfam family "Bacterial small subunit ribosomal RNA", at positions 130 to 334 of the family's 1533-position model. The record is from RNAcentral.
GUUUGAGUGGGGGAGUAACUAGCCGAAAGGUUAGCUAAUACCGCAUACGUCUCCGAGGGGCAUCCCUUGGCGAUAAAAGGAGCAAUCCGCUCGAUGACGGGACCGCGUCCCAUUAGCUAGAUGGUGGGGUAACGGCCUACCAUGGCUCCGAUGGGUAGCUGGUUUGAGAGAGCGACCAGCCACACUGGGACUGAGAAACGGCCCAG